UACGAAGGGGGCUAGCGUUGCUCGGAAUCACUGGGCGUAAAGGGUGCGUAGGCGGGUCUUUAAGUCAGAGGUGAAAUCCUGGAGCUCAACUCCAGAACUGCCUUCGAUACUGGAAAGCUCGAGUCCGGGAGAGGUGAGUGGAACUGCGAGUGUAGAGGUGAAAUUCGUAGAUAUUCGCAAGAACACCGGUGGCGAAGGCGGGUCUCUGGGCCGAUACUGACGCUGAGGAGCGAAAGCGUGGGGAGCAAACAGG
This 253-nucleotide ribosomal RNA is filed under the name uncultured bacterium. RNAcentral's name for it is "partial 16S ribosomal RNA". It matches the Rfam family "Bacterial small subunit ribosomal RNA", at positions 524 to 776 of the family's 1533-position model. The record is from RNAcentral.